GGUAGUUCUUGGGUGACACACCCCAGAAUUGGGCUCCCUCCUCUCUGGUUUUGGAGUGCGUCACCCGAGAACCACC
Molecule: non-coding RNA, 76 nt
Organism: Myotis davidii
Lineage: Eukaryota; Metazoa; Chordata; Mammalia; Chiroptera; Vespertilionidae
Source: Rfam